This 331-nucleotide ribosomal RNA is filed under the name uncultured bacterium. RNAcentral's name for it is "bacterial SSU rRNA". It matches the Rfam family "Bacterial small subunit ribosomal RNA", at positions 188 to 507 of the family's 1533-position model. The record is from RNAcentral.
CAUCUACCGGUUGGGAAAGGUGCAACUGCACCGCAGAUGGAGGAGCCCGCGGCGCAUUAGCUAGUUGGUGGGGUAACGGCCUACCAAGGCGACGAUGCGUAGCCGACCUGAGAGGGUGGACGGCCACACUGGGACUGAGACACGGCCCAGACUCCUACGGGAGGCAGCAGUAGGGAAUCUUCCGCAAUGGGCGCAAGCCUGACGGAGCAACGCCGCGUGAGCGAAGAAGGCCUUCGGGUUGUAAAGCUCAGUCACUCGGGAAGAGCGGACGAGGGAGUGGAAAGCCCUUGUCGAGACGGUACCGAGAGAGGAAGCCCCGGCUAACUACGUG